Molecule: ribosomal RNA, 395 nt
Filed under: uncultured bacterium
Lineage: Bacteria
Description: bacterial SSU rRNA
Rfam family: Bacterial small subunit ribosomal RNA
Source: RNAcentral
GUGUCAGCAGCCGCGGUAAUACGUAGGUGGCAAGCGUUGUCCGGAUUUACUGGGCGUAAAGGGCUUGUAGGCGGUUCGUUAAGUCCGGUGUGAAAUCUCCCGGCUCAACUGGGAGGGGUCAUCGGAUACUGGCGGACUUGAGGUGGGCAGAGGAAAGCAGAAUUCCCGGUGUAGCGGUGAAAUGCGUAGAUAUCGGGAGGAAUACCAGUGGCGAAGGCGGCUUUCUGGGCCUAUCCUGACGCUGAGGAGCGAAAGCGUGGGGAGCAAACCGGAUUAGAUACCCGGGUAGUCCACGCCCUAAACGGUGGAUGCUAGGUGUAGGGGGUGUCGACCCCCUCUGUGCCGCAGCUAACGCUUUAAGCAUCCCGCCUGGGGAGUACGGCCGCAAGGCUAAA